CCUACGGGGGGCAGCAGUGGGGAAUAUUGGACAAUGGGGGGAACCCUGAUCCAGCCAUGCCGCGUGUGUGAAGAAGGCCCUCGGGUUGUAAAGCACUUUCAGUGAGGAAGAACGCCUGGUGGUUAAUACCCAUCAGGAAAGACAUCACUCACAGAAGAAGCACCGGCUAACUCCGUGCCAGCAGCCGCGGUAAUACGGAGGGUGCGAGCGUUAAUCGGAAUUACUGGGCGUAAAGCGCGCGUAGGUGGCUUGAUAAGCCGGUUGUGAAAGCCCCGGGCUCAACCUGGGAACGGCAUCCGGAACUGUCAAGCUAGAGUGCAGGAGAGGAAGGUAGAAUUCCCGGUGGAGCGGUGAAAUGCGUAGAGAUCGGGAGGAAUACCAGUGGCGAAGGCGGCCUUCUGGACUGACACUGACACUGAGGUGCGAAAGCGUGGGUAGCAAACAGGAUUAGAUACCCCAGUAGUC
Molecule: ribosomal RNA, 465 nt
Filed under: Vreelandella stevensii
Lineage: Bacteria; Pseudomonadati; Pseudomonadota; Gammaproteobacteria; Oceanospirillales; Halomonadaceae
Description: partial 16S ribosomal RNA
Rfam family: Bacterial small subunit ribosomal RNA
Source: RNAcentral